UACGGAGGGGCUAGCGUUGUUCGGAAUUACUGGGCGUAAAGCGCACGUAGGCGGCUUUGUAAGUUAGAGGUGAAAGCCCAGGGCUCAACCCUGGAAUUGCCUUUAAGACUGCAUCGCUUGAACAUCGGAGAGGUAAGUGGAAUUCCGAGUGUAGAGGUGAAAUUCGUAGAUAUUCGGAAGAACACCAGUGGCGAAGGCGACUUACUGGACGAUUGUUGACGCUGAGGUGCGAAAGCGUGGGGAGCAAACAGG
Molecule: ribosomal RNA, 252 nt
Filed under: uncultured bacterium
Lineage: Bacteria
Description: partial 16S ribosomal RNA
Rfam family: Bacterial small subunit ribosomal RNA
Source: RNAcentral